Molecule: long non-coding RNA, 596 nt
Organism: Papaver somniferum (opium poppy)
Lineage: Eukaryota; Viridiplantae; Streptophyta; Magnoliopsida; Ranunculales; Papaveraceae
Exons: 3
Source: RefSeq, a predicted model, not a curated record
CUCUCUCUUCGUUCUUAUCUCCUUCUUCUUCUGUCCUUUCUGUCGAAUUAAAAUCAUAGAAUUGAGUUAAAUCUUGUGAGAGUUCAUAGGAAACUUGUUAGUACGUUGAAUCGAAGGUGAUGAUGUUGUAGUUGUUUGAGCACGAGAAGAGGAUGAUAUGGUUGCUGUUGUAAGUCAGAGUUGGGUUUCUGUAAUAGGGUUCGUGUAGAAUUGAUGAUGAAUUGAGUUGUUGAUGAUUGAAGAACUGAGGGGUUGAUUUUGAUUUGCCGAAGUGAAUCUUUUCUGGUGUUGAAUCGAAAAUAAAAGUUAGUCGUUAUUAACAACGAUCGAUUCAAAGGAUGAUCCAGUGGAUUGAACAUCUCGAGGUAGGAGAGGCUUGUCAUUAAAAGAGUUUCAGAAACAGAUCAAGCUGCGUACAUGGUGAUAAAAGCUUCGAGGAGUUGGUUUGGUUUCGUUAGUUGGUUAUCUUCCGCUAUGUUUAUUUUGUGUUUGUAUUCUAUUUGUAAACCAACUCAUUAUUAAAUAUGUAUCACUUGAGAGGAGUUUUUGUAUGUAUUUCAGAGAGGGUUUAGAUUCGGGUUAAUCUUUGUUUAGAA